Molecule: ribosomal RNA, 378 nt
Filed under: uncultured eukaryote
Lineage: Eukaryota
Description: partial 18S ribosomal RNA
Rfam family: Eukaryotic small subunit ribosomal RNA
Source: RNAcentral
CAAUAGCGUACAUUUAAGUUGUUGCAGUUAAAAAGCUCGUAGUUGGAUUUCGGGUGGGACGCAGCGGUCUCGCAUUGCGUUUGUACUGCUGCAGCCCUCCUUCUUGCCGGGGGCGGCCUCUCGGACUUCACUGUCUGGGGGUCAGAAUCGGCGAUGUUACUUUGAGUAAAUUAGAGUGUUCAAAGCAAGCUUACGCUCUGAAUAUAAUAGCAUGGGAUAACACGACAGGACUCUGGCCUAUCGUGUUGGUCUAUAGGACCAGAGUAAUGAUUAAGAGGGACAGUCGGGGGCAUUCGUAUUCCGUUGUCAGAGGUGAAAUUCUUGGAUUUACGGAAGACGAACAUCUGCGAAAGCAUUUGCCAAGGAUGUUUUCAUUGA